Molecule: ribosomal RNA, 1467 nt
Filed under: Salmonella enterica
Lineage: Bacteria; Pseudomonadati; Pseudomonadota; Gammaproteobacteria; Enterobacterales; Enterobacteriaceae
Description: partial 23S ribosomal RNA
Rfam family: Bacterial large subunit ribosomal RNA
Source: RNAcentral
AGACCCGAAACCCGGUGAUCUAGCCAUGGGCAGGUUGAAGGUUGGGUAACACUAACUGGAGGACCGAACCGACUAAUGUUGAAAAAUUAGCGGAUGACCUGUGGCUGGGGGUGAAAGGCCAAUCAAACCGGGAGAUAGCUGGUUCUCCCCGAAAGCUAUUUAGGUAGCGCCUCGUGAAUUCAUCUCCGGGGGUAGAGCACUGUUUCGGCUAGGGGGCCAUCCCGGCUUACCAACCCGAUGCAAACUGCGAAUACCGGAGAAUGUUAUCACGGGAGACACACGGCGGGUGCUAACGUCCGUCGUGAAGAGGGAAACAACCCAGACCGCCAGCUAAGGUCCCAAAGUCAUGGUUAAGUGGGAAACGAUGUGGGAAGGCCCAGACAGCCAGGAUGUUGGCUUAGAAGCAGCCAUCAUUUAAAGAAAGCGUAAUAGCUCACUGGUCGAGUCGGCCUGCGCGGAAGAUGUAACGGGGCUAAACCAUGCACCGAAGCUGCGGCAGCGACGCUGAUGCGUUGUUGGGUAGGGGAGCGUUCUGUAAGCCUGUGAAGGUGGCCUGUGAGGGUUGCUGGAGGUAUCAGAAGUGCGAAUGCUGACAUAAGUAACGAUAAAGCGGGUGAAAAGCCCGCUCGCCGGAAGACCAAGGGUUCCUGUCCAACGUUAAUCGGGGCAGGGUGAGUCGACCCCUAAGGCGAGGCCGAAAGGCGUAGUCGAUGGGAAACGGGUUAAUAUUCCCGUACUUGGUGUUACUGCGAAGGGGGGACGGAGAAGGCUAUGUUGGCCGGGCGACGGUUGACCCGGUUUAAGCGUGUAGGUGUGUGUUCCAGGUAAAUCCGGUUCACUUUAACACUGAGGCGUGAUGACGAGGCACUACGGUGCUGAAGCAACAAAUGCCCUGCUUCCAGGAAAAGCCUCUAAGCAUCAGGUAACAUCAAAUCGUACCCCAAACCGACACAGGUGGUCAGGUAGAGAAUACCAAGGCGCUUGAGAGAACUCGGGUGAAGGAACUAGGCAAAAUGGUGCCGUAACUUCGGGAGAAGGCACGCUGACACGUAGGUGAAGUGAUUUACUCAUGGAGCUGAAGUCAGUCGAAGAUACCAGCUGGCUGCAACUGUUUAUUAAAAACACAGCACUGUGCAAACACGAAAGUGGACGUAUACGGUGUGACGCCUGCCCGGUGCCGGAAGGUUAAUUGAUGGGGUCAGCGCAAGCGAAGCUCCUGAUCGAAGCCCCGGUAAACGGCGGCCGUAACUAUAACGGUCCUAAGGUAGCGAAAUUCCUUGUCGGGUAAGUUCCGACCUGCACGAAUGGCGUAAUGAUGGCCAGGCUGUCUCCACCCGAGACUCAGUGAAAUUGAACUCGCUGUGAAGAUGCAGUGUACCCGCGGCAAGACGGAAAGACCCCGUGAACCUUUACUAUAGCUUGACACUGAACAUUGAGCCUUGAUGUGUAGGAUAGGUGGGAGGCUUU